UGUGUUCUUGCCCGCGCUUGUAGCCGUCCGGCCGGUGUCCCAACGUGCCCACCCGUCCAUCGCUGCUUUAUCAUUGUUACAGUCCAGAGUCCUUUUUAAGCUGCCGUCCUGCUGCUGGUUCUUGAUGACUGCCCGGAGUCUUGAUGACUGCCCGGGUCUCCUCAUGUCCUUUGAUUCAAACAUUGUUAGUUUUAAUGCACAAUGAUAAACAAUAACAAGCCUGGAUGUGGAUACAGACAAGACGUUAAGGUACAAUUAAAACAUUAGGUUUUUAUCAACGUAACUGAAUAAAUUAAAGGUUAUGAACACACAAGCCUAGUUAUAUCUCAUGUAUAACGGAGACGUGAACACCAGCGGAGCAGGCUGCUCUCUGCGGGGUGAGAUGAGGCUGAGGGGUCUGACGGUCCCGUUAACUACACCUCACAUCUCCCACAUCCUGGAGCUAAUAGAAGGCUCAAUGUUGACACACUGACAACAAUAGUGUUGCUUAAGUGACUAACUUCUGCUCUGAAAAAGUCCUAAAAUUCCAUUGAGUGACAGUUGUGUUUACUCUCCUCUGCCAUUGUUGCCUGUUGCUGAGGUGAAAUGCAUUCUGGGAUAUUUUGCUCUCACAAAGACGAGUCUCCUCUAAUGGGCGGGGUGAGUCACAAUAGGUAUUUUGAGCAUCCUUGGCGAGACGCAGACUUUAGAAUUGGAUCUGGCUGAUCACGUCCAGACAAGAACGCAAAUUGAGAAAAGGCCGUGAAAAGGUAUGAGUGGGUUGAUGUGAGAUAUCGAUACACGCAGAACAGAAAAACUACUAUUUUUAUCUUUACUUUGCAGCACAGACUAAACUACCUGUUUGGAUGGAUCUGAGAUUCUGCAUGAAUUCUGGCGUUUUUGCGGUCACCAGUUCUCGAUGCUCUUGGUCCAAUCGCCUCCCAACAGCGCUCUUCCUCACUUCCUCCCAGUCCUUAGUCCGAGUUACACACACAAGACGAUAUUAAAAUAUGAAAACAUUCUCAGUGCACACAGGUGACCAAUCAUCAGGGUGCAGAAUCACUCAUUUGUUCGUAGCACAUCACUGUAACUUCUCACCGUGUUUGGGAAGGCCUCUCCUUUGUAGUACGACUUGUCUGCUGGAUACUCGAUUCCCUUGUUGCGUAGCUGCUUCACGCUUACAGCCACCAAA
Non-coding RNA from Gasterosteus aculeatus aculeatus (three-spined stickleback), 1171 nucleotides. NCBI's taxonomy places the organism in Eukaryota, Metazoa, Chordata, Actinopteri, Perciformes, Gasterosteidae. The record is from RefSeq and is a predicted model, not a curated record.